RNAcentral lists this unclassified non-coding RNA (253 nucleotides) under uncultured Gammaproteobacteria bacterium. Its description in RNAcentral is "contains 16S-23S intergenic spacer region". It matches the Rfam family "Bacterial small subunit ribosomal RNA", at positions 524 to 776 of the family's 1533-position model. Lineage: Bacteria; Pseudomonadati; Pseudomonadota; Gammaproteobacteria. The record is from RNAcentral.
UACAGAGGGUGCGAGCGUUAAUCGGAAUGACUGGGCGUAAAGGGCGCGUAGGCGGCUUAUUAAGUUAGGUGUGAAAUCCCUGGGCUUAACCUAGGAACUGCAUUUAAUACUGAUGAGCUUGAGUAAGGUAGAGGGUAGUGGAAUUUCCGGUGUAGCGGUGAAAUGCGUAGAUAUCGGAAGGAACAUCGAUGGCGAAGGCAGCUACCUGGGCCUUAACUGACGCUGAGGCGCGAAGGCGUGGGGAGCAAACAGG